RNAcentral lists this ribosomal RNA (322 nucleotides) under uncultured Lactobacillus sp. RNAcentral describes it as "bacterial SSU rRNA". It matches the Rfam family "Bacterial small subunit ribosomal RNA", at positions 217 to 525 of the family's 1533-position model. Lineage: Bacteria; Bacillati; Bacillota; Bacilli; Lactobacillales; Lactobacillaceae. The record is from RNAcentral.
CUAAAGGGGUGGACCUGCGAUGCAUUAGCUAGUUGGUAAGGUAACGGGCUUACCAAGGCGAUGAUGCAUAGCCCGAGUUGAGAGACUGAUCGGCCACGUUGGGGACUGAGACACGGCCCAAACUCCUACGGGAGGCAGCAGUAGGGAAUCUUCCACAAUGGACGAAAGUCUGAUGGAGCAAACGCCGCGUGAGUGAAGAAGGUUUUCGGAUCGUAAAGCUCUGUUGUUGGUGAAGAAGGAUAGAGGUAGUAACUGGCCCUCUAUUUGACGGUAAUCAACCAGAAAGUCACGGGCUAACUACGUGCCAGCAGCCGCGGUAAAU